GUGUAUGUUUUGUGUUUGUGUUCAGAUUAGCAUCGCGUGUAAAAGAAAAGACGCCGAUACAACCGGCCCGUCAAGGGCCCGCUAUCGACCCAACAAUCCACAGGUGUUUAAAAAGGCGGUCAUGCAGUGAUGAUCCUUCCGCAGGUUCACCUACGGAAA
This 159-nucleotide unclassified non-coding RNA is filed under the name uncultured fungus. Its description in RNAcentral is "sequence contains ITS1". The record is from RNAcentral. Lineage: Eukaryota; Fungi.